Molecule: ribosomal RNA, 453 nt
Filed under: uncultured bacterium
Lineage: Bacteria
Description: bacterial SSU rRNA
Rfam family: Bacterial small subunit ribosomal RNA
Source: RNAcentral
GCACAAGCGGUGGAGCAUGUGGUUUAAUUCGACGCAACGCGCAGAACCUUACCAGGGUUUGACAUCCCAAGACCGCUUCUGAAAGGAAGUUUUCCCGCAAGGGACUUGGAGACAGGUGCUGCAUGGCUGUCGUCAGCUCGUGUCGUGAGAUGUUGGGUUAAGUCCCGCAACGAGCGCAACCCCCGCCUUUAGUUGCCAUCAUUAAGUUGGGCACUCUAGAGGGACCGCCGGCGACAAGCCGGAGGAAGGUGGGGAUGACGUCAAGUCCUCAUGGCCCUUACACCCUGGGCUACACACGUGCUACAAUGGCGGUGACAGUGAGCAGCUAGUUCGCGAGAACAUGCUAAUCUCAAAAACCGUCCCAGUUCAGAUUGCACUCUGCAACUCGGGUGCAUGAAGGUGGAAUCGCUAGUAAUCGCAGAACAGCAGGCUGCGGUGAAUACGUUCCCGGGC